Molecule: long non-coding RNA, 2496 nt
Organism: Vicia villosa (hairy vetch)
Lineage: Eukaryota; Viridiplantae; Streptophyta; Magnoliopsida; Fabales; Fabaceae
Exons: 7
Source: RefSeq, a predicted model, not a curated record
UAAACGUUCCUUUACUCAUCCACCAGAUUUCAAUGAGAGUAUUAGGUCGCUUCAGAUUCCAACCUUGGUUCCUCAACAAAUCAGUUAUUUCUCUUUUCCAAUACUCUCUUCAAUGUUUUCGGAUGCAUCUACUUCUUCUUUCUUUCUCUUCUUCCUCACACUCUCUUCUUCCUCUUACUUCCUAAUUUCACUGUUCCCUUCCAAACCAAAGUGUAUAUUUUUCACUAAGAGAGAAGAAGAUGUGAAUUUUUCAUUAUUCCCUCCCAAAUCGAUUUUGAAGUGAUUGUUCCAUAGAGAAAAGAAAGUGUUCGCUCCAAAUCUGAUUCUUGAUUGGGUAACUCUAACUCUUUCUGCCUCAUUCCAAAUCCAACCCUAAAGAUUUAUGCUUCAUCCCAUGUCUAUCCCUAAGGAUUAAUUUGUUAGCUGGGUGGUGGCAGCGAUGAUAACAACAAUAAUGUUGAAAGCAAUAACAAGGUUGUUGUUUCCAAUGAAGGUCCGAGCAAGCCUAAGAGACAAAUGAAGACGUCGUUUCAGCUUGAAACCCUUGAGAAAGCAUAUGCAUUGGAUAAUUACCCUUCAGAGUCUGUGAGGGUUGAGUUGUUUGAGAAAUUGGGGUUGAUGGAUCGACAGCCGCAGAUGUGGUUCUGCUGCAGGAGGUUGAAGGAUAAGAUGGAGGCGUCGGCUCCAAAGAAAGAAUCUGUUGCUUCUCCAAAGAAGGGGCCAGUGUCAUGUAAGCCAGCGGGGUUUGGCUCAGGUUCGAGUCCGUCUACAUGGUUGGAGCCUCUGAAUGCAAUCUCGGUCAGUGUUGGUUACUAUGAGUCCCCAUAGGCUGAAAUAGAGCUUAGAGCAAUUGCUUGUGUGGAGGAUCAGUUAGGUGAACCAUUGAGGGAAGAUGGGCCCAUUCUAGGAAUAGAGUUCGAUCAAUUGCCACCAGAUGCAUUUGGAGCACCUAUAGGUAUAAAUGAUAAUGCCUCUUAUCUUUAAUGAUUGUGUUACUGAAUAUUGCAGUUUUUUGACUCCAUUUGUUAUCGAAGGAAAUUGCUUGAAAGUUGAAACAAUAGUAUAAUGGUAUAAGUUUGUGAUCUAUGCAUACUACACCAUGUUUUUCUACUAACAAUAGUAGAAAAGCCUCUCAUGGAAAUUUGGUGCUCCAAUAUAAAUUACCCUUUUCUAAUGAAGAACAAGAGGUGAGAAGAAUGUCUGACUGGUCAGAUUUGGCUUCGAGUGUUACAUCUGCGGAUGAUAUCCAGGUGUUGCUCGGAUGAUACAUACAUUAAAAGUAUUUGACCUGCUGGUUUGCCAAUGCAAAUCAAUGCUUUACCUAAAGAAGCUUCACGUUAUUGACAAUUCUAUAUUGAAAUAGGAGCAAGUUAUUUUUCAGCAGUUAUAAUUUUUUUCUAUUUCAAUCAAUCAUUUGUGUUCAAUGCAUUAAUCCCUUAAUUGUUCAAAAUAUCAUCAAACGAUUUUUCAGGACUAUCAUUUCAUCAAAUGAACAUUUCCAGAUGUUGUUCUUGCCAUCCGGAACACUUGCAGAAGAAAGAACUAGAAGGAGGAAUUUGCCUGCCAGUGUUGUUGCGGUGAUGGAUGAAGUGUUCCUUAACUAUAAGUGCGAUUGAAUUGAAGCUGCGAUGUGCUGUUUUCGCAGUUGAUGUGAAUAUAUGUGGAUUGAAUUGAAGCUGCACUGUGCUAUUUUUAGAAGUGAUUGAAUUUAAUUGAAUAUACGUGUCAUUUUGUCACAAUCAUCUUUCAAACUGUAAAGUGGAAAGAUCUAUUGUACCCUAUAUAUUAUUACUAAUGGAACCUAAGUCUUUAAAUACCAAGCUAAACCAAACGACAGAUAUGUGAAUUAUGAUGAAGAUAUUAGGAAAUACUUUCAAGUUAAUAAGAUAUAACAUAUAUGUGUAUAGAUUUUGUAAAGUGUGUUUCAACGCUUGAAGGCUUUAAAUUAUGCAUCAAAUUCUAGAGAUACACUUGGAGUUAUGUAGAUUUAGCUGACUGUUAUAUAAUUCUAGGUGUUAUCUCCUGACAUGAGCUUAGCUACUCUACAACAAGAAUAUCUUCACAACAACUUGGUUGAAUUGUAUAAGCAUGUCGAUCCAUGUGUUUACAUGUUGAUGAUGGAACUUUUCCGAGAAGGAGUUUGUUGAUCUUCUUCCUCUCAGUUGAGACUCAUGUUUUAAGUUGUUUCAGGAAGUUCAAGAAUUUGAUUCAAAUGUAACAUUUGCUGGUAUGCAACUUACUUUCUUGAUGAAAAGUUAAAUUCAUUUAGACUGAUUGGGAAAUAUGUAAUGCCGAGGAUGAGAAGGGAAUUAUCCUCCGCCGUUAGGUGAUUAAGAUUCAUGCAAAAGAAAUGAGGGAUUGUGGCUGGAAACUAUAACUGUUCAAACUUUAGUUUGUAGUAAAAAAAAUUAAGAUAUGUCCUCCUAACUAUAUUUCACCAAUAGGAGAAACUUUUCACACCUCUUGAAUUAACUUUGGAUGUAGUGCACAUUUAAA